This 398-nucleotide ribosomal RNA is filed under the name Loxoblemmus sp. Indo. RNAcentral describes it as "eukaryotic LSU rRNA". It matches the Rfam family "Eukaryotic large subunit ribosomal RNA", at positions 1507 to 1862 of the family's 3401-position model. The record is from RNAcentral. Lineage: Eukaryota; Metazoa; Arthropoda; Insecta; Orthoptera; Gryllidae.
UUUCGUGUGAACAGCCGUUGCACACGAGUCAGUCGAUCCUAAGCCCUAGGGGAAACCCGAUGCAUGCCGACCCUCGGUCGCGCAGGGCGAAAGGGAAUCCGGUCCCCAUUCCGGAACCCGGUCGCGGAACCGUCCUACGUCGGGCCCCCCGCCUUCAACGGCGCGUGCUCGUCGGGGUAACCCAACCAGACCCGGAGAAGCCGUCGGGAAGCCUGGGAAGAGUUUUCUUUUCUGUUUGAGCGUUCGAGUUCCCUGGAAUUGCCUAGCGCAGAGAGAGGGAAUGGAACGCGUAGAGCACCGCAGUUGCGGCGGUGUCCAGGCGCGCCCUUCGGACCUUGAAAAUCCGGGGACGGGCCACGUGGAGGUCUCGCGCCGGCUCGUACCCAUAUCCGCAGCAG